AGGACGAACGCUGGCGGCGUGCUUAACACAUGCAAGUCGAGCGGAAAGGCCCUUCGGGGUACUCGAGCGGCGAACGGGUGAGUAACACGUGAGUAAUCUGCCCCUAGCUCUGGGAUAGCUCCGGGAAACCGGGAUUAAUACCAGAUACGACCACUUUAGACAUCUGCUGUGGUGGAAAGAAUUUCGGCUAGGGAUGAGCUCGCGGCCUAUCAGCUUGUUGGUGAGGUAACGGCUCACCAAGGCGACGACGGGUAGCCGGCCUGAGAGGGCGACCGGCCACACUGGGACUGAGACACGGCCCAGACUCCUACGGGAGGCAGCAGUGGGGAAUAUUGCGCAAUGGGCGAAAGCCUGACGCAGCGACGCCGCGUGGGGGAUGAAGGCCUUCGGGUUGUAACCCUUUCAGCAGGGACGAAGCGAAAGUGACGGUACCUGCAGAAGAAGCGCCGGCUAACUACGUGCCAGCAGCCGC
RNAcentral lists this ribosomal RNA (472 nucleotides) under uncultured bacterium. RNAcentral describes it as "SSU rRNA". It matches the Rfam family "Bacterial small subunit ribosomal RNA", at positions 26 to 518 of the family's 1533-position model. The record is from RNAcentral.